AGAUUGAACGCUGGCGGCAGGCCUAACACAUGCAAGUCGAGCGGUAGAGAGGUGCUUGCACCUCUUGAGAGCGGCGGACGGGUGAGUAAAGCCUAGGAAUCUGCCUGGUAGUGGGGGAUAACGCUCGGAAACGGACGCUAAUACCGCAUACGUCCUACGGGAGAAAGCAGGGGACCUUCGGGCCUUGCGCUAUCAGAUGAGCCUAGGUCGGAUUAGCUAGUUGGUGAGGUAAUGGCUCACCAAGGCGACGAUCCGUAACUGGUCUGAGAGGAUGAUCAGUCACACUGGAACUGAGACACGGUCCAGACUCCGUACGGGAGCAGCAGUGGGAAUAUUGGACAAGUGGGACAAAGCCUAGAUCCAGCCAAUCGACCGCGUGUGUGAAGUAAGGUCUUACGGAUUUACGGUAAAGACUAACGUUUUAAAGGUUCGGGAAGGUAA
Molecule: ribosomal RNA, 441 nt
Filed under: uncultured soil bacterium
Lineage: Bacteria
Description: bacterial SSU rRNA
Rfam family: Bacterial small subunit ribosomal RNA
Source: RNAcentral